RNAcentral lists this ribosomal RNA (443 nucleotides) under uncultured bacterium. RNAcentral's name for it is "partial 16S ribosomal RNA". It matches the Rfam family "Bacterial small subunit ribosomal RNA", at positions 338 to 795 of the family's 1533-position model. The record is from RNAcentral.
CCUACGGGAGGCUGCAGUGGGGAAUAUUGCGCAAUGGGCGCAAGCCUGACCCAGCAACGCCGCGUGAAGGAAGAAGGCUUUCGGGUUGUAAACUUCUUUUCUCAGCGACGAAGAAAGUGACGGUACCUGAGGAAUAAGCCACGGCUAACUACGUGCGAGCAGCCGCGGUAAUACGUAGGUGGCGAGCGUUAACCGGAUUUACUGGGAGUAAAGAGCGUGUAGGCGGGAAAGCAAGUCAGAUGUGAAAGCCAUGGGCUCAACCUGUGGCCUGCAUUUGAAACUGUUUUUCUUGAGUACUGGAGGGGCAGACGGAAUUCCACGUGUAGCGGUGAAAUGCGUAGAGAUGAGGAGGAACACCAGAGGCGAAGGCGGUCUGCUGGACAGCAACUGACGCUGAGGCGCGAAAGCGUGGGGAGCAAACAGGAUUAGAUACCCCUGUAGUC